RNAcentral lists this ribosomal RNA (445 nucleotides) under uncultured bacterium. RNAcentral describes it as "partial 16S ribosomal RNA". It matches the Rfam family "Bacterial small subunit ribosomal RNA", at positions 330 to 792 of the family's 1533-position model. The record is from RNAcentral.
ACCAGACUCCUACGGGAGGCAGCAGUGGGGAAUAUUGCACAAUGGGGGGAACCCUGAUGCAGCGACGCCGCGUGGGUGAAGAAGUCAUUCGUGACGUAAAGCCCUAUCAGCAGGGAAGAAAAUGACGGUACCUGACUAAGAAGCCCCGGCUAACUACGUGCCAGCAGCCGCGGUAAUACGUAGGGGGCAAGCGUUAUCCGGAUUUACUGGGUGUAAAGGGAGCGUAGACGGCGGCGCAAGUCCGGAGUGAAAUCCCAAGGCUCAACCUUGGAACUGCAUUUGAAACUGUUGGUCUUGAGUAUCGGAGAGGCAGGCGGAAUUCCUAGUGUAGCGGUGAAAUGCGUAGAUAUUAGGAGGAACACCAGUGGCGAAGGCGGCCUGCUGGACGACGACUGACGGUGAGGCGCGAAAGCGUGGGGAGCAAACAGGAUUAGAUACCCCUGUA